UUCCAGACUCCUACGGGAGGCAGCAGUGAGGAAUAUUGGUCAAUGGUCGGGAGACUGAACCAGCCAAGCCGCGUGAAGGACGAAGGUGCCAAGCAUUGUAAACUUCUUUUGUCAAGGGACAAAAUCAGGCUCGAGAGCCUGACCGAGGGUACUUGAAGAAAAAGCAUCGGCUAACUCCGUGCCAGCAGCCGCGGUAAUACGGAGGAUGCGAGCGUUAUCCGGAUUUAUUGGGUUUAAGGGGUGCGUAGGCGGAUUGAUAAGUUAGAGGUGAAAUGUCCGAGCUCAACUCGGGAACUGCCUCUAAUACUGUUGAUCUAGAGAGUAGAUGCGGUAGGCGGAAUGUAUGGUGUAGCGGUGAAAUGCUUAGAGAUCAUACAGAACACCGAUUGCGAAGGCAGCUUACCAAUCUAUAUCUGACGUUGAGGCACGAAAGCGUGGGGAGCAAACAGGAUUAGAUACCCGAGUAAA
This 468-nucleotide ribosomal RNA is filed under the name uncultured bacterium. RNAcentral describes it as "bacterial SSU rRNA". It matches the Rfam family "Bacterial small subunit ribosomal RNA", at positions 329 to 794 of the family's 1533-position model. The record is from RNAcentral.